ACUGUUACGAUGGCAAGUGCUGGAGUGGGAGUUGCCUGCUGUGAAAAUUCCUGUUUUUUUCCUCACUGGCUGCAGGUCCUGAGCACACUUGGCCUCUUUGAGUCUUACGUUUCUCCUUUGUAAAGCAGGGACGAAGUCCUCCCUACUCCGUAGUUCUGAGUAAAUGCAGAGGAACUCUUUACAACUCUUAAGAUGAACUGGACAUGUCUCACGAUGUGCCCACAUCAACACACAGUCUGCCCUUUGGGUGGCUGAUGGGAGAGACCUCAUGACCACUAGAAUCCCAGGGUGUGUGUGGACACAGUCACUCGACAAACGCCUAUUGAUUCAGGAGCAGUUGGUGUGGUGAGAGCGGGAGGAACCUCGGCGAUCUGGGCACCUGAACCCACCUGCCCGGCUGGAUUUGUGUGGACCCGAGGGAGGAAGGACAAGCCCAGCUGAUUCUCGGCACAUCACGUAGAGGACAUCUCUCUGCUGUAUCCACAUCCCUAUUUGUAGCUCUGCUUGGGAAAGCCGCAAAGACCAGGGCGGAGGAAUCGGGGGCUUUUUGUGCUAAAAUCUGUCUUUUACCUGCUUAAAUUACAAUACUGAAUAAUUAUGUAUGUGCAGAAACUGUCAAAAGUAUACUUACAUUUUGCCGUGUGCUAAAAUUACUUUUCAUUAUGACCUAUUUGUACAUCAUUUGAACCAACUAUCUCAGCCUGGAAAUGUAAAUGUGUUUUUGUUUUUGCUCUGCGGGUUAGGUCAGCAGACGCCUGCAACAAAUAUGAUGGCAAGGGUGAAGGUGACAUGAUUUACUUAAAUCAGGCAAUUUCUCCAUUAAAGCAUCGAAGCCUCAACUCAUAAAGACACUCUUUAGUAGAUGAACUAUAAUGUUGCCCCGCAUUUGUCAUAUUAGGUGAUUUGAAAGGAAAGAACAAUUAUAAAAAUGAAUGUACUUCCCCGUUGAAGGAAGAAGAUCUAGUUUUUGCAGCAGGGGGUGGUUAAUUUUCCACAGAUAAAAACAGGUUUCACAGCAAUUCGAUAACUGUAACGUCCUACAAUUAAAACAUAGGAAGAAAAGGUUCCCCUGCCAAAGCCGACUGUCAUAGGAAUUAGUUGUUCGGGACCGGCAUCGAAGGUUAUUCUGUUCCCCGUAGGAACAGCUCCAUUGCCAUAAACUGUGUCGGUGUGUCCCCCGCCACCCCCCCCACCUCACCCCGUUUCUGAGCUGCUUUCAAUUAGCAGGGAUUAUUAAACUGGAAACAUUUUCGCUGCUGCCGAAGCUGCUUUUCUGCGUUAUGAGCUGAGCUAGAGGCGUCACAAUAAAAGCUGAUGGAUUAGCAAAGAAUGUACUUACAGCAACUGAUGCCCAGUGUCAUUUUCCAUGCAUGUCGCCACCUCUCCUGCCCCCUGGAUUUCGUGUUUCUGUUCAGAGAUUAACCUUGGUUUCUCUCUCUGGAAACUUCGGCAGGCUGGAGGCUCUCAACUUCCACCUCGACUGCCUGCUUCAAGCCUCAUAUCCUCCCCACCCGACCCGGACCCCCAAAAUCCAGAGACCUCCCCUCCAAAUUCCCAGAGGGAAGGUAUUAGGUUCCUGUGACUUUUUUUUCUUUCGUGUUUAAUUGCCGGCACGUUAGAAUGACAGCAAUGGUAACACACCUCUGGAGAACACAGGCCACAGCGCAUGGCCGUGGUGGAGGCAGGUGUCUGGGUCCCAGUGGAGGGUUGAAAACACUGCAGCCAUGUACCUUGAAGCCUCAUCUCAUCCUCAGUAAUCUUCUGUCUU
Molecule: long non-coding RNA, 1768 nt
Organism: Mustela erminea (ermine)
Lineage: Eukaryota; Metazoa; Chordata; Mammalia; Carnivora; Mustelidae
Exons: 3
Source: RefSeq, a predicted model, not a curated record